ACUCCUACGGGAGGCAGCAGUGGGGAAUAUUGCACAAUGGGCGCAAGCCUGAUGCAGCCAUGCCGCGUGUAUGAAGAAGGCCUUCGGGUUGUAAAGUACUUUCAGCAGUGAGGAAGGUGGGUAUGUUAAUAGCAUAUUCAUUUGACGUUAGCUGCAGAAGAAGCACCGGCUAACUCCGUGCCAGCAGCCGCGGUAAUACGGAGGGUGCGAGCGUUAAUCGGAAUUACUGGGCGUAAAGCGCAUGCAGGUGGUUUGUUAAGUCAGAUGUGAAAGCCCGGGGCUCAACCUCGGAAUUGCAUUUGAAACUGGCAAACUAGAGUACUGUAGAGGGGGGUAGAAUUUCAGGUGUAGCGGUGAAAUGCGUAGAGAUCUGAAGGAUACCGGUGCGAAGGCGGCCCCCUGGACAGAUACUGACACUCAGAUGCGAAAGCGUGGGGAGCAAACAGGAUUAGAUACCCUGGUAGG
RNAcentral lists this ribosomal RNA (465 nucleotides) under uncultured bacterium. RNAcentral's name for it is "bacterial SSU rRNA". It matches the Rfam family "Bacterial small subunit ribosomal RNA", at positions 335 to 794 of the family's 1533-position model. The record is from RNAcentral.